This 84-nucleotide transfer RNA is filed under the name Candidatus Ichthyocystis hellenicum. Its description in RNAcentral is "bacterium 2013Arg42i tRNA". It matches the Rfam family "tRNA". Rfam says of the family: Transfer RNA (tRNA) molecules are approximately 80 nucleotides in length. Their secondary structure includes four short double-helical elements and three loops (D, anti-codon, and T loops). The record is from Rfam by way of RNAcentral. Lineage: Bacteria; Pseudomonadati; Pseudomonadota; Betaproteobacteria; Burkholderiales.
GCCGAAGUGGUGGAAUAGGUAGACGCGCUGGACUCAAAAUCCAGUGCCCGUGAGGGCGUGAGAGUUCGAUUCUCUCCUUCGGCA